Molecule: ribosomal RNA, 490 nt
Filed under: uncultured bacterium
Lineage: Bacteria
Description: partial 16S ribosomal RNA
Rfam family: Bacterial small subunit ribosomal RNA
Source: RNAcentral
AUUGAACGCUGGCGGCAGGCCUAACACAUGCAAGUCGAACGGUAACAGGAAACAGCUUGCUGUUUCGCUGACGAGUGGCGGACGGGUGAGUAAUGUCUGGGAAACUGCCUGAUGGAGGGGGAUAACUGCUGGAAACGGUAGCUAAUACCGCAUAACGUCGCAAGACCAAAGAGGGGGACCUUCGGGCCUCUUGCCAUCGGAUGUGCCCAGAUGGGAUUAGCUAGUAGGUGGGGUAACGGCUCACCUAGGCGACGAUCCCUAGCUGGUCUGAGAGGAUGACCAGCCACACUGGAACUGAGACACGGUCCAGACUCCUACGGGAGGCAGCAGUGGGGAAUAUUGCACAAUGGGCGCAAGCCUGAUGCAGCCAUGCCGCGUGUAUGAAGAAGGCCUUCGGGUUGUAAAGUACUUUCAGCGGGGAGGAAGGGAGUAAAGUUAAUACCUUUACUCAUUGACGUUACCCGCAGAAGAAGCACCGGCUAACUCCGUG